This is a long non-coding RNA of Herpailurus yagouaroundi (jaguarundi), 2353 nucleotides long. RefSeq lists it as uncharacterized. The transcript is spliced from 2 exons. The record is from RefSeq and is a predicted model, not a curated record. Lineage: Eukaryota; Metazoa; Chordata; Mammalia; Carnivora; Felidae.
UGAACCAAAGUCGGUCACUUAACUGACUGAGCCACCCAGUCGCCCCUCAAGUAUUUUUUCCUGCACUGCAGUCUCUCCUCUCUUUGGGACUUUAAAUGACACAAUGUUAACUUAGUGUUAUUACACAGGAACCUGAAGCUUUGAGCAUUUUUUUUUUUUAAUUUUUUUUUCCUCUUUGUUGUUCAGCUUGGAUUCUAUCACUAUAUCUUCAAGUUUACUGAAUCUUUCCUUUGUCACUUUUAAUCUGUUAUUGAGCCUAUCCAGUGAGGGUUUUUGUUUGUUUUUUUGCUUCUGCUUUGUAUCUUCUAUUUCUUUGCUGAAACUUUCUACCAUUUUAUUUCAAUAGUGUUCACCCUUACUUCCUUGAGCAUUUUACAACUACUUUAAAGUCUUUCUCAGAUAAUUUUAACGUCUCUGUCAUCUCUGCAUUGUCAUGCAUUGACUGUCUUUUUCAUGUGACUGACAUCGUCUUGAUUCUUCACGUGACAAAUAAUUUAGGAUUAUAUUCAGGACACUUUAAAUUUUAAUGAGAUUUGUGUCUUGUUUAAAUCUAUGAAUAAUUUCUUUUUUUUUAAGCAUGCAACCAGUGCAGUUAGGUUUAGGCUAGAAAUUCUGACCAGUCGUUUGUAGAUUACGGUUUCAAUGUCUGCCCUGUUUUAAAAGUCUUUGCACUGCUGUUUGGAUUUGUCCAUCCUCUGUACCACCCUAUGGGAAGCCUAGUGGUCUUUUGUGCAGUUCUCAAACUCUUUGGUAUGCUGUUUAUGGUCAGAUCCCCACAUACAUGGCUUGGGUUGGGAGUAAACUCAGAAGUUUAUAAACAGUGUUAUUGGGUGCUGGGCCCUUCCCUCUCUGAAGUCUUCCUUUACUAUCUGGUUACCUGGGUCUCCUUUUUUUUGGUCCUCUGACCAGAAAGCUGGGGCUUUAGUUGCCCCCUUCUGUUAUACACUGCCCACAUCUGUGCCCUUGUUCAGGGUCAAACAGCAGAAGUAUUGACAUAGGAAAAAAAAAAAAAAAAAAAGCAGUAGGUGUUUACCCCAGCCUUUUGGACCAAGGCUUCAAAGGAAGCUUACCUCCCUCAGUUUUAGGUGCUUUCCACCACCCCCUCCUCCCCCCUGCUGUCUCCACUGCCUGUCACCACAGCCACUGUAGAUUGCCUCGGGCUAGGGAGUGAGCAAACAGAGAAAAGAAAAGAAGAGGAAAUGGGGAAUUUGUCAUCUGCCCCCCUCCCCGCAUGGAUCUUUAGUACCUUAUCAUUGCUUUGAGUCCAGCCUGGAAAUAAUUGCGUGAUAAAUGGAGAUUUCACUGGUUCCAUAGUAUUUUGAGUUCUAGUCUUUAUCUACAACUUUUUCUGCUAUUUCUUUUUCAGAGUCUUCAAAUAGUCAUUCCAUGCAUCUGUCAAUAUCUCAGAUUUGCCUUCAUUGGGAGAGAGGGGGUGAUGGGAGCUUAUUCCACCUGACUUGCAACCAGAAAUCCUCUGGGCCUGUGUUCUUUUCAUUAACAUGUGGGGCCCCUGUGUGGACCAAGAGUUUUCCUCAAAGGACUUUAUGGUAUUCUUAACUUUUGCUUGUAGUUUGCAUUGUAAUGACACUAAUAAGAACUUACUGAAAUUGAUUAUAGUGGUAGUUUAGAAGGUUAACAAUUUAUUAAUUCUUUUUUAUUCACCAAAACUGGAUAAAAUUCCAAAAUGUUUUCAUAUUAUGACUGAAAUGUUUAUCUUAUAUGGAAGUAAUAAUACUGAAGAAGAAACAAACAGAGGUAGUAAGAAAAUGUUGAAGUCUUCAAAAAUUACAUGCUUCCUUCCAAACAACUUAUUCAUGUGCCAGUAAACUUAUUGCAUUGUUUGAAGGCUGUGGGGAGCCAAGUCCUGUGGUUUUUCACUUUCUCUCAGCAGGUGAGGUCAACUAUGUCACUUCUGCUUUAUUUACUGUGACCUUUGUGUGGUGCAACAAGUGUAGGGGCACAGUACCAGGGAAGCAAUGCCCUUGACCCUGUGAGACCAGAUCUCUCCAGAGAGGCCACAGGCAGGGAUGUCCCACCUACUUUCUCCUCAGGCUGGCUCUGGAAGCUCCAGAGAACAACCCGAGUGUAAUGGAGGCCCCACUGCCACGUUCCGGCCGAGGCCCGGUUCUCAAGGAACUCACAGUCUACUGUGUCUUAUUUGUACUUCUGUCCUCGGCGCCUGGCACAGUGUCUGGCAUCUAGACGAGGCUCAACCGUGUAUAACUAGUUUGUUAUUGUUGCCAUUCUUGCUCCUUCAGUCUCCUGGGUAAGUUGAGUACCAGACACAGAAUGCCUGUGAGUCUUCGAAACCAAGUUUUUUUUGGAAAUUAUAGAUAAAAUUUAUUCAAUUUAA